This 254-nucleotide ribosomal RNA is filed under the name uncultured bacterium. Its description in RNAcentral is "partial 16S ribosomal RNA". It matches the Rfam family "Bacterial small subunit ribosomal RNA", at positions 524 to 776 of the family's 1533-position model. The record is from RNAcentral.
UACGUAGGAGGCGAGCGUUGUCCGGAGUUACUGGGCGUAAAGCGUGCGCAGGCGGUGAUGUAAGACAGAUGUGAAAUCCCCGGGCUCAACCUGGGAACUGCAUUUGUGACUGCAUCGCUGGAGUGCGGCAGAGGGGGAUGGAAUUCCGCGUGUAGCAGUGAAAUGCGUAGAUAUGCGGAGGAACACCGAUGGCGAAGGCAAUCCCCCUGGGCCUGCACUGACGCUCAUGCACGAAAGCGUGGGGAGCAAACAGG